Molecule: ribosomal RNA, 348 nt
Filed under: uncultured bacterium
Lineage: Bacteria
Description: bacterial SSU rRNA
Rfam family: Bacterial small subunit ribosomal RNA
Source: RNAcentral
GGGCCCGCACAAGCGGUGGAGCAUGUGGUUUAAUUCGAUGAUACGCGAGGAACCUUACCAGGGCUUAAAUGUUAGGUGACAGAUCUAGAAAUAGAUUUUUCUUCGGACACUUAACAAGGUGCUGCAUGGUUGUCGUCAGCUCGUGCCGUGAGGUGUCAGGUUAAGUCCUAUAACGAGCGCAACCCCUGUUGUUAGUUGCCAGCGAGUAAUGUCGGGAACUCUAGCAAGACUGCCAGUGCAAACUGUGAGGAAGGUGGGGAUGACGUCAAAUCAUCACGGCCCUUACGUCCUGGCUACACACGUGCUACAAUGGUAGGUACAGAGGGCAGCUACCGGUGACCGGAUGCG